GAGCGGUAGUUCAGUUGGUUAGAAUACCGGCCUGUCACGCCGGGGGUCGCGGGUUCGAGUCCCGUCCACUCC
Molecule: transfer RNA, 72 nt
Filed under: uncultured Glaciecola sp.
Lineage: Bacteria; Pseudomonadati; Pseudomonadota; Gammaproteobacteria; Alteromonadales; Alteromonadaceae
Also listed under: 3 other names
Rfam family: tRNA
About the family: Transfer RNA (tRNA) molecules are approximately 80 nucleotides in length.
Source: RNAcentral